GUUGACCUCGAAUCAGGUAGGACUACCCGCUGAACUUAAGCAUAUCAAUAAGCCCGGAGGAA
RNAcentral lists this ribosomal RNA (62 nucleotides) under Beauveria bassiana. RNAcentral describes it as "partial 28S ribosomal RNA". The record is from RNAcentral. Lineage: Eukaryota; Fungi; Ascomycota; Sordariomycetes; Hypocreales; Cordycipitaceae.